CUYGCRRAGAUCAUGUCGAAACCUGCAAAGCAGAAAGACAGCGACCCAUUACAACACCCAGGGGUGACCCCAACCCCUGACGCUGAGUGUGUGCAGCCCUGCCUUGCGCCCUCAGCAUAAACGAACCCAGGCGCGGAACGCGUCAAGGAAUCAUAACGAAACGAGCUCCUGCCGUGGCCCCGGGGACGGUGAUCGCCGCAGCAGCUGUGUUGUGCUUGGUUAAGUCUAAAAUGACUCUCGGCAACGGAUAUCUCGGCUCUCGCAUCGAUGAAGAACGUAGCGAAAUGCGAUACUUGGUGUGAAUUGCAGAAUCCCGUGAACCAUCGAGUCUUUGAACGCAAGUUGCGCCUGAAGCCAUCAGGCUGAGGGCACGUCUGCCUGGGCGUCAAACACCGAUGCCCCCCCAAAUCCCCUCGUCACUCUCCCCUGAGUGCCCGGGGAGUGUGGGGGUCGGAUGAUGGCCUCCCGUGUCUUGGCUCGCGGUUGGCCCAAAGUCGAGUCCUCGGUCACGGUUACCGUGGUGACAGGUGGUUGUCGGUCGCUCGGUACCCCGUCACGUGCGCCGGACACGAAUCGAGACUCUCUUGAUUACCCCAACGCAUCCCCGUUUGGGUGCUCUUGAUGUGACCCCAGUUCAGGCGG
This 642-nucleotide ribosomal RNA is filed under the name Morus alba (white mulberry). RNAcentral's name for it is "eukaryotic LSU rRNA". The stretch from base 233 to 388 matches the Rfam family "5.8S ribosomal RNA". The record is from RNAcentral. Lineage: Eukaryota; Viridiplantae; Streptophyta; Magnoliopsida; Rosales; Moraceae.